RNAcentral lists this ribosomal RNA (2871 nucleotides) under Escherichia coli. Its description in RNAcentral is "partial 23S ribosomal RNA". It matches the Rfam family "Bacterial large subunit ribosomal RNA". The record is from RNAcentral. RNAcentral also lists the same sequence under 4 other names. Lineage: Bacteria; Pseudomonadati; Pseudomonadota; Gammaproteobacteria; Enterobacterales; Enterobacteriaceae.
UGGCAGUCAGAGGCGAUGAAGGACGUGCUAAUCUGCGAUAAGCGUCGGUAAGGUGAUAUGAACCGUUAUAACCGGCGAUUUCCGAAUGGGGAAACCCAGUGUGAUUCGUCACACUAUCAUUAACUGAAUCCAUAGGUUAAUGAGGCGAACCGGGGGAACUGAAACAUCUAAGUACCCCGAGGAAAAGAAAUCAACCGAGAUUCCCCCAGUAGCGGCGAGCGAACGGGGAGCAGCCCAGAGCCUGAAUCAGUGUGUGUGUUAGUGGAAGCGUCUGGAAAGGCGUGCGAUACAGGGUGACAGCCCCGUACACAAAAAUGCACAUACUGUGAGCUCGAUGAGUAGGGCGGGACACGUGGUAUCCUGUCUGAAUAUGGGGGGACCAUCCUCCAAGGCUAAAUACUCCUGACUGACCGAUAGUGAACCAGUACCGUGAGGGAAAGGCGAAAAGAACCCCGGCGAGGGGAGUGAAAAAGAACCUGAAACCGUGUACGUACAAGCAGUGGGAGCACGCUUAGGCGUGUGACUGCGUACCUUUUGUAUAAUGGGUCAGCGACUUAUAUUCUGUAGCAAGGUUAACCGAAUAGGGGAGCCGAAGGGAAACCGAGUCUUAACUGGGCGUUAAGUUGCAGGGUAUAGACCCGAAACCCGGUGAUCUAGCCAUGGGCAGGUUGAAGGUUGGGUAACACUAACUGGAGGACCGAACCGACUAAUGUUGAAAAAUUAGCGGAUGACUUGUGGCUGGGGGUGAAAGGCCAAUCAAACCGGGAGAUAGCUGGUUCUCCCCGAAAGCUAUUUAGGUAGCGCCUCGUGAAUUCAUCUCCGGGGGUAGAGCACUGUUUCGGCAAGGGGGUCAUCCCGACUUACCAACCCGAUGCAAACUGCGAAUACCGGAGAAUGUUAUCACGGGAGACACACGGCGGGUGCUAACGUCCGUCGUGAAGAGGGAAACAACCCAGACCGCCAGCUAAGGUCCCAAAGUCAUGGUUAAGUGGGAAACGAUGUGGGAAGGCCCAGACAGCCAGGAUGUUGGCUUAGAAGCAGCCAUCAUUUAAAGAAAGCGUAAUAGCUCACUGGUCGAGUCGGCCUGCGCGGAAGAUGUAACGGGGCUAAACCAUGCACCGAAGCUGCGGCAGCGACGCUUAUGCGUUGUUGGGUAGGGGAGCGUUCUGUAAGCCUGUGAAGGUGUGCUGUGAGGUAUGCUGGAGGUAUCAGAAGUGCGAAUGCUGACAUAAGUAACGAUAAAGCGGGUGAAAAGCCCGCUCGCCGGAAGACCAAGGGUUCCUGUCCAACGUUAAUCGGGGCAGGGUGAGUCGACCCCUAAGGCGAGGCCGAAAGGCGUAGUCGAUGGGAAACAGGUUAAUAUUCCUGUACUUGGUGUUACUGCGAAGGGGGGACGGAGAAGGCUAUGUUGGCCGGGCGACGGUUGUCCCGGUUUAAGCGUGUAGGCUGGUUUUCCAGGCAAAUCCGGAAAAUCAAGGCCGAGGCGUGAUGACGAGGCACUACGGUGCUGAAGCAACAAAUGCCCUGCUUCCAGGAAAAGCCUCUAAGCAUCAGGUAACAUCAAAUCGUACCCCAAACCGACACAGGUGGUCAGGUAGAGAAUACCAAGGCGCUUGAGAGAACUCGGGUGAAGGAACUAGGCAAAAUGGUGCCGUAACUUCGGGAGAAGGCACGCUGAUACGUAGGUGAAGCGACUUGCUCGUGGAGCUGAAAUCAGUCGAAGAUACCAGCUGGCUGCAACUGUUUAUUAAAAACACAGCACUGUGCAAACACGAAAGUGGACGUAUACGGUGUGACGCCUGCCCGGUGCCGGAAGGUUAAUUGAUGGGGUUAGCGCAAGCGAAGCUCUUGAUCGAAGCCCCGGUAAACGGCGGCCGUAACUAUAACGGUCCUAAGGUAGCGAAAUUCCUUGUCGGGUAAGUUCCGACCUGCACGAAUGGCGUAAUGAUGGCCAGGCUGUCUCCACCCGAGACUCAGUGAAAUUGAACUCGCUGUGAAGAUGCAGUGUACCCGCGGCAAGACGGAAAGACCCCGUGAACCUUUACUAUAGCUUGACACUGAACAUUGAGCCUUGAUGUGUAGGAUAGGUGGGAGGCUUUGAAGUGUGGACGCCAGUCUGCAUGGAGCCGACCUUGAAAUACCACCCUUUAAUGUUUGAUGUUCUAACGUGGACCCGUGAUCCGGGUUGCGGACAGUGUCUGGUGGGUAGUUUGACUGGGGCGGUCUCCUCCUAAAGAGUAACGGAGGAGCACGAAGGUUGGCUAAUCCUGGUCGGACAUCAGGAGGUUAGUGCAAUGGCAUAAGCCAGCUUGACUGCGAGCGUGACGGCGCGAGCAGGUGCGAAAGCAGGUCAUAGUGAUCCGGUGGUUCUGAAUGGAAGGGCCAUCGCUCAACGGAUAAAAGGUACUCCGGGGAUAACAGGCUGAUACCGCCCAAGAGUUCAUAUCGACGGCGGUGUUUGGCACCUCGAUGUCGGCUCAUCACAUCCUGGGGCUGAAGUAGGUCCCAAGGGUAUGGCUGUUCGCCAUUUAAAGUGGUACGCGAGCUGGGUUUAGAACGUCGUGAGACAGUUCGGUCCCUAUCUGCCGUGGGCGCUGGAGAACUGAGGGGGGCUGCUCCUAGUACGAGAGGACCGGAGUGGACGCAUCACUGGUGUUCGGGUUGUCAUGCCAAUGGCACUGCCCGGUAGCUAAAUGCGGAAGAGAUAAGUGCUGAAAGCAUCUAAGCACGAAACUUGCCCCGAGAUGAGUUCUCCCUGACCCUUUAAGGGUCCUGAAGGAACGUUGAAGACGACGACGUUGAUAGGCCGGGUGUGUAAGCGCAGCGAUGCGUUGAGCUAACCGGUACUAAUGAACCGUGAGGCUUAACCUU